CCCUUAGAUGUUCUGGGCCGCACACGCGCUACACUGAAGGAGGCAGCGUGUACUCCUGGAUCGAAAGAUUUGGGUAACCCGCGAAUCUCCUUCGUGCUAGGGAUUGAGGUUUGCAAUUAUCCUUCAUGAAAGAGGAAUUCCCAGUAAGUGCAAGUCAUAAGCUUGCGCUGACUACGUCCCUGCCCUUUGUACACACCGCCCGUCGCUACUACCGAUUGAAUGAUUUAGUGAGGACUUCGGACUGGGACCGAUGCGGCUUUCGGGCUGCGUCGGUAUUCUGGAAAGAUGUCCAAACUGUAUCAUUUAGAGGAAGUAAAAGUCGUAACA
This 327-nucleotide ribosomal RNA is filed under the name uncultured eukaryote. RNAcentral's name for it is "partial 18S ribosomal RNA". It matches the Rfam family "Eukaryotic small subunit ribosomal RNA", at positions 1470 to 1796 of the family's 1831-position model. The record is from RNAcentral.